AUGGCGGCGCUCCUGGAUGAGCUCGUCGAGGAGAUCCUCCUCUGCCUCCCGCUCGAUGACCCCGCCUGCCUCCUCCGGUCCUCCCUCAUCUCCAAGGCCCGGAGCGGCAGCGUCUCCGGCCCCGGCUUCCACCGCCGCCUCCACGAGCUCCACGGCGCACCCCCCGUGUUCGGCCUCCUCCACGACCAGGCCAGCGACCGCGCCCCCUGCUUCAUCCCCACCACCGCCUCGCCCUUCUCCCUCGCCGUCCCAGACAAUGGAUUAACAAUAUCAUCAUUCCAUAGAAGAACGUUUAUUCAAUGCUGUUCUGCUAAUAAUUAUUUUUAA
This 327-nucleotide ribosomal RNA is filed under the name Triticum aestivum (bread wheat). RNAcentral describes it as "partial small subunit ribosomal RNA". Lineage: Eukaryota; Viridiplantae; Streptophyta; Magnoliopsida; Poales; Poaceae. The record is from RNAcentral.